AAACCAGCACCUCAAGUGGUCAGGAUGAUUAUUGGGCCUAAAGCAUCCGUAGCCUGCUCUGUAAGUUUUCGGUUAAAUCUGUACGCUCAACGUACAGGCUGCCGGGAAUACUGCAGAGCUAGGGAGUGGGAGAGGUAGACGGUACUCGGGAGGAAGUGGUAAAAUGCUUUGAUCUCUCGAUGACCACCUGUGGCGAAGGCGGUCUACCAGAACACGUCCGACGGUGAGGGAUGAAAGCUGGGGGAGCAAACCGGAUUAGAAACCCCGGUAGUCC
This 274-nucleotide ribosomal RNA is filed under the name uncultured bacterium. Its description in RNAcentral is "partial 16S ribosomal RNA". It matches the Rfam family "Archaeal small subunit ribosomal RNA", at positions 473 to 747 of the family's 1478-position model. The record is from RNAcentral.